GAUGAAGAACGCAGCGAAAUGCGAAAAGUAAUGUGAAUUGCAGAAUUCAGUGAAUCAUCGAAUCUUUGAACGCACAUUGCGCCCCCUGGUAUUCCGGGGGGCAUGCCUGUUCGAGCGUCAUUUCACCACUCAAGCCUCGCUUGGUAUUGGGCAACGCGGUCCGCCGCGUGCCUCAAAUCGACCGGCUGGGUCUUCUGUCCCCUAAGCGUUGUGGAAACUAUUCGCUAAAGGGUGCUCGGGAGGCUACGCCGUAAAACAAACCCAUUUCUAAGGUUGACCUCGGAUCAGGUAGGGAUACCCGCUGAACUUAAGCAUAUCAAUAAGCGGAGGA
Molecule: unclassified non-coding RNA, 331 nt
Filed under: soil metagenome
Description: partial contains 5.8S ribosomal RNA, internal transcribed spacer 2, and large subunit ribosomal RNA
Rfam family: 5.8S ribosomal RNA (bases 1-120)
Source: RNAcentral